Molecule: non-coding RNA, 2464 nt
Organism: Taeniopygia guttata (zebra finch)
Lineage: Eukaryota; Metazoa; Chordata; Aves; Passeriformes; Estrildidae
Source: RefSeq, a predicted model, not a curated record
UGUAAGCUGUUGACCAGCUUUGCUUAGCUUAGAUAUGCAACACUCCCAGGCAGAGCCCUUGGCUUGCACUAUUUUUAUCUCCAGCAGCAGGAGGGAAUCCUGUAGAUCUUGUGUGUGUUAAGAAACUCAAGGGGAAAGAAAGUGCAACUGCUGUGAUCUUCUUAACACAAAGAAUGAACUGAAUCCUAGGCUUUUCAAUAGGAAUCGAGAUGCCCAAAAGAAAAUUGGACAUGGAGGUUCCUCAGGUGUUAAAGUUGGGUUCUCUCUACCUCUGUUUCUCUCUGAGCUCUGUUUCUGAAUCUCAAGAAAUAUGUAUCCAGGCCAGAAGUGCAACACUCCUUACAGUUAUUAGGCUAAAGAGCAUGAAAGGACAGGGGCAAUUGAUGGAAGCCAAUGUUCAGAGUCACAGCCAGCAGCAGUCCUAUUGCUGUGGCUGCUGGAUGCAGCUGUGGAUACAGCUGUGGAUACAGCAAGAACACCUUUGGAUCAAAGACCUGCUGGGACCUGUGCCUCAGGCAUGGUGGUUGUGAGCCCUUGAGGGGUGAGCUGCUUGGGAGAGUAAGUGUGAGGCAUCCAGUGGGCUCAAGCCUUCUGCAGCAACUUCCCUGCAGUUCCCAGCUGUGCAUUUUCCUCAUGCUCCACCAUGAAGAUGGGAUUUACAGCCACUCAGCAGUGCUGCUAUCAGUAGCUUGACCAGCUCAAGUCUAUCAGGCUUGAAAGGAAUUUUUUUCUUUAUUUUUAAAAAUCCUUUCCUGCUCCACUUCUUUCUCCAUCAUUGAGUUAAAAGUCUGUUAGCAUCUCCUUCGGAAUAAUUCUGCCUUUAAAUUUUGAUGAGUCAGUGAGUCCAUGCAAAGCUUUUUAAAAGCUUUUAAUUCUAAGCUUUGGGGAUUUUACACAGCCAGUUUAAUCUGUAAUGACUUUUUUUCAUUUCCACUUGAACUUUCUGCUGUUCUGGUGCUCUUUAACUCCUGCAAGGCCUCAUUUAUGUUCUCUUGAAACACUUCACUGGGAGAUGAAUGGUUCUUCCAAUACUCCCUUUUUAUUAAUGUGUAGGUUUAUAAGUGAAGGAAUUAAAUGUAGCUUGAAGAAGACCUCACCUCCUAAGGUGUUUGCUGUUGUGGCUGCACCAUUCUUUGGGGAGUCUGUAGCAGCUGAGCUGCAGCCUCUGUGUGUGUGUGUAACAGGGUGUGUGUGCACAGCACUGAAACCGUUCCUGCAUCUCCCCUCCCAAGCAGUUUUUGCAUCUUAGGGACAUGGAUGCUACAACAACCCAUGACAGCCUUCCAGGAAGGACCAGACCCAGCUUGGUUUGUAAAACUGAGGGGUUGGUUUUGUGCUGAGGGAUGGUGCCAACCGUCACACUUGCUGAGCAGAAAGAACCUGAGCUGCAGAAAACAAAAUUGGGCUUUGCAUGGCUAAAGGUGAAGGGACAUGUUGGCACAGCAGUAGCAAAGAGAACAAUGUUUCGGUGGCCCUUCUCUGCAGGACAGGUAGCCAGGCCAAGCCUUUUUGACACAUGGGAUGUCUCUCAGCAGCAGCACUCCUAAAGCACCUCUGCUUCACCUGUCUUCAGGUAUGAGGUAGUCACUAGGCAGCUGCUUGAGUGGAAAAAAAGGAAAAAAAUAAGCAAAGAAAAUGAGGGAGAAAAGGGUGAUUUUUGUUGUACUUUGAAACCCUCUUCUGUUAUCUGUGUUGUAACAUGUCUCAGCUUUGAUAGCUGCUUAGUUAUCUUCUGGCCAAAUGUGAUGAUGUACAGAAGCUUUGUACCCCCUUUGAUACUCACUCACACAAACAUAGGCACUGUAGUGGAAGCAGCUGUCAGCUGGGAAAUUGCACAGAAGCUGCUGGGUUUUCAUGUAAAUUAUGCAACUAUUCAGACAUCCUAGUGGGAGGCUACAGUGUGAUGUUUGGGCUGGAUUUUCUACAGUGUUUAGGUGCUGGAAGAUUCAGAUAAAUACUUUUGGGGACUGAUUGAGAAGCCUCCAUGCCUACAUCCUACUGAAAUCAUUGGUGUUUUGCUUUCAGAGGUGUCAAGACACUUCUCAGAAGUCCCAUUUUCAAGAAUGUCGGUCACAUGUCCCAGAGAGCUGGCAGCUACAGAAAUUCCCAGUGCCAAGGCAGAGUAAACAAGAUAAAUGUACAAUUUGGUGUUCUUGCCAUUGAUAAAGGAUUGCCACUGGAACAUCAAAGAUCAUCUCUAAAUAAGGCUUUGCAGGGGAGAAUUUCAGGAGCCCUGGCAGGGAGGUGUCCUGUCACAGGCAUCCUGCUGGGUGGCACAGCAUGCAGGUGAGAUGAAAGACGCCUCAGUCUACCUCAGUUCCAGUGCAGACAGAAAACCAGGAGAGAAGGACAAAGAACAGCAAAUAAGGAGGUUUGCAGAAUGCCAACACAGCAAUGACAGUGAGAAAUACAAGACAAAGCAGUUAACCACACAAGGAAAUAAAUGCUCCUGUGGGAAAAAUCA